Molecule: ribosomal RNA, 528 nt
Filed under: uncultured Methylophilus sp.
Lineage: Bacteria; Pseudomonadati; Pseudomonadota; Betaproteobacteria; Nitrosomonadales; Methylophilaceae
Description: bacterial SSU rRNA
Rfam family: Bacterial small subunit ribosomal RNA
Source: RNAcentral
UAGAGUUUGAUCAUGGCUCAGAUUGAACGCUGGCGGAAUGCUUUACACAUGCAAGUCGAACGGCAGCACGGAGAGCUUGCUCUCUGGUGGCGAGUGGCGAACGGGUGAGUAAUAUAUCGGAACGUGUCCAAUAAUGGGGGAUAACGAGUCGAAAGAUUCGCUAAUACCGCAUACGCCCUACGGGGGAAAGCAGGGGAUCGUAAGACCUUGCGUUAAUGGAGCGGCCGAUAUCUGAUUAGCUUGUUGGUGAGGUAAAGGCUCACCAAGGCGACGAUCAGUAGCUGGUUUGAGAGAACGACCAGCCACACUGGAACUGAGACACGGUCCAGACUCCUACGGGAGGCAGCAGUGGGGAAUUUUGGACAAUGGGGGCAACCCUGAUCCAGCCAUUCCGCGUGAGCGAAGAAGGCCUUCGGGUUGUAAAGCUCUUUCGCAAGGGAAGAAAACUUAUGAUCGAAUAAAUCAUGAGGUUGACGGUACCUUGAUAAGAAGCACCGGCUAACUACGUGCCAGCCGCCGCGGUAAUAC